GGGUUGGUAGCUCAGUUGGUAGAGCAUCGGCCUUUUAAGCCGCUGGUCCCGGGUUCGAGCCCCGGCCAACCCACCA
Molecule: transfer RNA, 76 nt
Filed under: Verrucomicrobiota bacterium
Lineage: Bacteria; Pseudomonadati; Verrucomicrobiota
Description: Verrucomicrobia bacterium (freshwater metagenome) tRNA-Lys
Rfam family: tRNA
About the family: Transfer RNA (tRNA) molecules are approximately 80 nucleotides in length. Their secondary structure includes four short double-helical elements and three loops (D, anti-codon, and T loops).
Source: RNAcentral